This 407-nucleotide ribosomal RNA is filed under the name uncultured bacterium. RNAcentral's name for it is "partial 16S ribosomal RNA". It matches the Rfam family "Bacterial small subunit ribosomal RNA", at positions 30 to 526 of the family's 1533-position model. The record is from RNAcentral.
AUUGAACGCUGGCGGCAGGUCUAACACAUGCAAGUCGAGCGGAGCGGCGGACAGGUGAGUAAUGCCUAGGAAUCUGCCUGGUAGUGGGGGAUAACGUCCGGAAACGGGCGCUAAUACCGCAUACUAUCAGAUGAGCCUAGGUCGGAUUAGCUAGUUGGUGGGGUAAAGGCCUAACAAGGCCACGAUCCGUAACUGGUCUGAGAGGAUGAUCAGUCAAACGGGAACUGAGACACGGGCCAGACUCCUACGGGAUGCAGCAGGGGGGAAUAUUGGACAAUGGGCGAAAGCCUGAGCCAGCCAUGCCGCGUGUGUGAAGAAGGUAUUCGGAUUGUAAAGCACGUUAAGUUGGGAAGCGUUACCAACAGAAUAAGAACCGGAUAACUUCGUGCCAGCAGCCGCGGUAAUUC